RNAcentral lists this ribosomal RNA (424 nucleotides) under uncultured Sphingobacteriales bacterium. Its description in RNAcentral is "bacterial SSU rRNA". It matches the Rfam family "Bacterial small subunit ribosomal RNA", at positions 355 to 776 of the family's 1533-position model. The record is from RNAcentral. Lineage: Bacteria; Pseudomonadati; Bacteroidota; Sphingobacteriia; Sphingobacteriales.
UAAGGAAUAUUGGACAAUGGGCGCAAGCCUGAUCCAGCCAUGCCGCGUGAAGGAUGAAGGCCCUAUGGGUCGUAAACUUCUUUUAAACGGGACGAAACCCCUCGACGUGUCGAGGGCUGACGGUACCGUAAGAAUAAGGGUCGGCUAACUUCGUGCCAGCAGCCGCGGUAAUACGAAGGACCCGAGCGUUAUCCGGAUUUAUUGGGUUUAAAGGGUGCGUAGGCGGACCUAUAAGUCAGUGGUGAAAGCCCAUCGCUCAACGAUGGAAUUGCCAUUGAUACUGUAGGUCUUGAGUAUAGUUGAGGUGGGCGGAAUGUGUCAUGUAGCGGUGAAAUGCUUAGAUAUGACACAGAACACCUAUUGCGAAGGCAGCUCGCUAAGCUAUAACUGACGCUGAGGCACGAAAGUGUGGGUAGCAAACAGG